UAAUAAGUGUUUUAUGGCACUUUUUUAAAUCCAUAUCCACCUUGUGUGCAAUGUCAGUCGAUCUUCUUCAUGGAGAUCGACCAAAACAUCAACCUUUAUCUUUUAACUCUUUGUCUGAAAAAAUAUUAUGAAUAAACAAUUCAAAAUA
RNAcentral lists this unclassified non-coding RNA (148 nucleotides) under soil metagenome. RNAcentral's name for it is "partial internal transcribed spacer 1". The record is from RNAcentral.